UUCUGACCUCGAAUCAGGUGGGACUACCCGCUGAACUUAAGCAUAUCAAUAAGCGGAGGAAAAGAAACUAACAAGGAUUCCCUUAGUAACUGCGAGUGAAGUGGGAUGAGCUCAAAUUUAAAAUCUGGUGGUCUUUGGCUGCCCGAGUUG
RNAcentral lists this ribosomal RNA (150 nucleotides) under Hydnum umbilicatum. RNAcentral describes it as "partial 28S ribosomal RNA". It matches the Rfam family "Eukaryotic large subunit ribosomal RNA", at positions 1 to 145 of the family's 3401-position model. Lineage: Eukaryota; Fungi; Basidiomycota; Agaricomycetes; Cantharellales; Hydnaceae. The record is from RNAcentral.